RNAcentral lists this non-coding RNA (31 nucleotides) under Bombyx mori (domestic silkworm). Lineage: Eukaryota; Metazoa; Arthropoda; Insecta; Lepidoptera; Bombycidae. The record is from RNAcentral.
CCCAACGAGAGGAGCUGGCGCUGCGCGCCGA